Molecule: long non-coding RNA, 470 nt
Organism: Hemiscyllium ocellatum (epaulette shark)
Lineage: Eukaryota; Metazoa; Chordata; Chondrichthyes; Orectolobiformes; Hemiscylliidae
Exons: 4
Source: RefSeq, a predicted model, not a curated record
GAGGCUGUCACUGGCUCGGCCAGCAUUUAUUGCUGCGUUUACCCAGAGGGCAGUUAAGAAUCAACCACGUUGCUAUAGGUCUGGAGUCCCAUGCUGACCAGACCAGAUCCCAGUGAUCAGUGCCAAAGCCCCAUUGCCUGUGAAGAGGGUGAUGUUUGAUUUCCCUGUCCAGCUGCAAUUCGUGUGGUGAAGGUGCUCCCACAAUGUGGUUGGGGAUCUGCACUGGAACCCUUCUGUUUGCGGGACAAAUAUAUAUAAGUGACAUGGAUUAAAAUCUAAUUUGAGUACAUUUUGAAUUGUUGGAAGAUGUACAUUUGUGGAAGGAAGGGGAGCUGCCUGCAGCUGAAUAGUCACAUUGAAUUUUUUUUUGGUGAUUCCAUCUGCUGCUAAGCAUUCUAAUUAUCUUUUCAUUAUCAGAAAAAUUGCUUUAAACCUAUUCAGCAGUUGUAUUUUUCAUGAAUUUACAAUAA